UACGUAGGUUCCGAGCGUUGUCCGGAGUUACUGGGCGUAAAGCGCGCGCAGGCGGCGGUGUUGGCCCGGCGUGAAAGCCCCCGGCUCAACCGGGGAGGGUCGUCGGGGACCGCACCGCUUGAGGGCGGUAGGGGCUGGUGGAAUGCCUGGUGUAGUGGUGAAAUGCGUAGAGAUCAGGCGGAACACCCGUGGCGAAGGCGGCCAGCUGGGCCGUCCCUGACGCUGAGGCGCGAAGGCGUGGGGAGCGAACGGG
RNAcentral lists this ribosomal RNA (253 nucleotides) under uncultured bacterium. Its description in RNAcentral is "partial 16S ribosomal RNA". It matches the Rfam family "Bacterial small subunit ribosomal RNA", at positions 524 to 776 of the family's 1533-position model. The record is from RNAcentral.